GACGAACGCUGGCGGCGUGCUUAACACAUGCAAGUCGAACGAUGAAGCGCCAGCUUGCUGGUGGGGACUAGUGGCGAACGGGUGAGUAACACGUGAGUAACCUGCCCGCUACUCUGGGAUAAGCCUGGGAAACUGGGUCUAAUACUGGAUAUGACCACUCACUGCAUGGUGUGUUGGUGGAAAGAUGUUUUGGUGGGGGAUGGACUCGCGGCCUAUCAGCUUGUUGGUGGGGUAGUGGCCUACCACGGCGACGACUGGUAGCCGGCCUGGGAGGGCGACCGGCCACAAUGGGACUGAGACACGGACCAGACUCGUACGGGAGGCAGCAGUGGGAAAUAUUGCACAGUGGGCGAAAGUCUGAUGCAGCGGCGCCGGGUGAGGGAUGACGGCUUUCGGGGUGUAAACCUCUUUCACCAGGGACGAAGGUAGCGUGACGGUACCUGGAGAAGAAGCACCGGCUAACUACGUG
Molecule: ribosomal RNA, 469 nt
Filed under: uncultured bacterium
Lineage: Bacteria
Description: partial 16S ribosomal RNA
Rfam family: Bacterial small subunit ribosomal RNA
Source: RNAcentral